CCCCAUCCCGCCACAGCUUGCCCGCAGUCUUCUGGCUCAUGCCCUUGCACAAUAAGCCCAGCACCUCAACCAGCAGCGUGGUGGCCUUCCCAAGGGGCACCAGGGGCUUUGUUAUCUCCCUGAACAGCUCCUCCAUGGGGAUGCCUUCCUCUUGCAGGAUAGGUGUUAUGAGCUCGGCAAGAUACAGCCAGAUGUGCGGGAUAUCAAUCUCCAUGUCUUCUGCAAUCUCCAGG
RNAcentral lists this long non-coding RNA (233 nucleotides) under Gallus gallus (chicken). The record is from RNAcentral. Lineage: Eukaryota; Metazoa; Chordata; Aves; Galliformes; Phasianidae.